GGAGAGGUGUCUGAGUUGGUUUAAGGUACCGCUCUCGAAAAGCGGCAGGGGUUCAUAGCCCCUCGGGGGUUCGAAUCCCCCCCUCUCCGCCA
RNAcentral lists this transfer RNA (92 nucleotides) under Parcubacteria group bacterium ADurb.Bin326. Its description in RNAcentral is "tRNA-Ser". It matches the Rfam family "tRNA". Rfam says of the family: Transfer RNA (tRNA) molecules are approximately 80 nucleotides in length. Their secondary structure includes four short double-helical elements and three loops (D, anti-codon, and T loops). The record is from RNAcentral.